UGCGCAGCAGCAGCAAAGGACGAAGAGGUAUGCCGGCCUUCCAGUCACUUUACUCUCCUUGAUGAUUUAGUCAGUAAUCACUUAACCUUGUUUCACUCUCAAGCCUCUAAACCAAUCAAGUCUACAACCACCAAAGUUGCCCAGAUCGGGAGAGAAAGUCACCCACCACCUAAGAAAGAGAAGUUGCAAUUGUUCAUGAGUUCUUGAAUCUGAAAUUUGAGAAGACCAAGUUCGACUUCGUAAACUGAAUUUCGUUUUCCCCCAAUUUCGAUUUCAAAACCCUAACCUGGUUUGGAUUUGGAAAUUUGAUUGGGUUAUGUAGUUCUAGAUUUUGUGGUUUUUUUUAAUAAGUGGUUUUUUCUUUUCUGGGUUAUGUAGUUUUGCAAGAUGGUGUGGUGAUUCUCAGCACAAUCCCUUCUU
This 420-nucleotide long non-coding RNA is filed under the name Fragaria vesca (wild strawberry). RNAcentral's name for it is "long non-coding RNA (FVES_LNC001846)". The record is from RNAcentral. Lineage: Eukaryota; Viridiplantae; Streptophyta; Magnoliopsida; Rosales; Rosaceae.